GAUGAAGAACGUAGCAAAUCGCGAUAUGUAAUGUGAUCUGCCUAUAGUGAAUCAUCAAAUCUUUGAACGCAUCUUGCACCUUAUGGCAUUCCAUAAGGUACGUCUGUUUCAGUACCACUAGUAAAUCUCCCCUCCACCUUGGUGGUUUAAAAGGAAGAGAUAAAUUAUUACUGGUUCUGGUGAUUCUUGAUUUAUUAAGAAUUACUCUCGACCUAAAUAUAAGGCUCGACUUUUUUAUUAGAUCUCGCAUCUGGUAAAACCUAGUCGGCUUUAAUAGGAUUUAUUUCUUAUUAGGUUUAUAGCCAUCAUUUUACUUUUAAAUCUUGGCCUGAAAUCAGAUGGGACUACCCGCUGAACUUAAGCAUAUCAAUAAGCGGAGGA
This 381-nucleotide unclassified non-coding RNA is filed under the name soil metagenome. RNAcentral describes it as "partial contains internal transcribed spacer 2 and large subunit ribosomal RNA". The stretch from base 1 to 117 matches the Rfam family "5.8S ribosomal RNA", at positions 35 to 154 of the family's 154-position model. The record is from RNAcentral.